AAAAGAUUAGUUAAAUCCUUAUAACAUAAAUAUGUCAAAUUUAAAUUAUUACAAUAAAGUAAUAUCUUUUU
This 71-nucleotide transfer RNA is filed under the name Phalera grotei. Its description in RNAcentral is "tRNA-Asp". The record is from RNAcentral. Lineage: Eukaryota; Metazoa; Arthropoda; Insecta; Lepidoptera; Notodontidae.